This 110-nucleotide microRNA precursor is filed under the name Fragaria vesca subsp. vesca. RNAcentral describes it as "Fragaria vesca miR11288b stem-loop (fve-MIR11288b)". The record is from miRBase by way of RNAcentral. Lineage: Eukaryota; Viridiplantae; Streptophyta; Magnoliopsida; Rosales; Rosaceae.
UCGGUGACGUCUUCCGCAUCAAAAUUGGCCACCUCCCAAUUAAAACUUAGAGUUUGAGAUGCUCAAAUCCUAGUUUGAACUGGGAUUGGGCGAAUUUUGGUCGAGAUUGA